Molecule: ribosomal RNA, 497 nt
Filed under: uncultured bacterium
Lineage: Bacteria
Description: partial 16S ribosomal RNA
Rfam family: Bacterial small subunit ribosomal RNA
Source: RNAcentral
GAUGAACGCUGGCGGCGUGCCUAAUACAUGCAAGUCGAGCGAACAGACGAGGAGCUUGCUCCUCUGACGUUAGCGGCGGACGGGUGAGUAACACGUGGAUAACCUACCUAUAAGACUGGGAUAACUUCGGGAAACCGGAGCUAAUACCGGAUAAUAUAUUGAACCGCAUGGUUCAAUAGUGAAAGACGGUUUUGCUGUCACUUAUAGAUGGAUCCGCGCCGCAUUAGCUAGUUGGUAAGGUAACGGCUUACCAAGGCAACGAUGCGUAGCCGACCUGAGAGGGUGGUCGGCCACCCGGGAGGUGAGACAGGGUCCAGACACCUGCGGGAGGCCGCAGUAGGGAAUCGUACGCAAUGGGGGAGAGCCUGACGGAGCAACGCGGCGUGAGUGAUGAAGGUCUUCGGAUCGGAAAACUCUGUUAUUAGGGAAGAACAAAUGUGUAAGUAACUGUGCACGUAUUGACGGUACCUAAUCAGAAAGCCACGGCUAACUACGUG